Long non-coding RNA from Mesocricetus auratus (golden hamster), 1648 nucleotides. RefSeq lists it as uncharacterized. The record is from RefSeq and is a predicted model, not a curated record. NCBI's taxonomy places the organism in Eukaryota, Metazoa, Chordata, Mammalia, Rodentia, Cricetidae. The transcript has 2 exons.
CCCCCAGGGAAAUGCAGAGCCGGGAAGUUGGCAAGCUAUGUCUCCUGCUCUCGUGGAUCUCACAGUGCUGACGUGGAAACAGGACUACCUGGAGGAAAGAGAGGACCGCAUGGAUGACAAAUGUCCCCUCCUGUAUAAGAUGAGGAAACCUAACUUCAGAGACUCAAAGGCAACAUCUAUUUGUGGGUUGCCAAGGGAUGCACACCAGCCCAGGCUGCUUGCCCGUGAUGCCCUUUUCUCCUUCCCUACGCUGGCUCAGCUAAGCGGAGAGGGAAACCCUCAGUAAUCGUGAGUCCCGGUCCUGGAAGCCAGCUGCCUACAGAGCUGUGCAGAGUUCCAGCUUGGUAAAUAUUUGCCCCGUGACUGAGGCAGAGAGAGUGCUCCUUUCUUGGUCCUGGGCAGUUCUUGGCAGUUCACACACACUGUUUACCUUUCCUCCCACAUUCCCCCCUGAGGAAUCAUCGCCACCCCCCUCCCCUCCCCUUCAGUUUGCUCAACAGAAAACAAGGCAGAGCGGUAUGAAGCAAAGUGCCUGGCAUAUAUAAAACCUGUCUCCAAUCUGUCCCGUGUGGCCUCACAUAGCCUUCCAGACAGCGAGGAUUCUAGGGCAGAAAAAUACCUUCCGUUAGGCGGACAUAACAGGAAUGGGUGUCUUGGGUUCCCAAGAGGAAAGUAUUUUGGAUUUCCUGGGGGAAGCUGCCAUCCCGGGGACUGAAAGCGAAUCAUUAGGAAGUUCGGGAGCUGGGAAGCUGGGAGGCCUGCGGCCAUCCUGCUGAGAUGGAAUCCUGUUGCUCUGGGAACUUGGUUAAGCUGUGUCCUGGUUGGUUUGCAGCUGGUGGUGCCAUAUAGAGAGCUCAAGACCUCCACCCCUUUCCAGCCGCUGACUCCAUGAUGUUGAUGAGCCGUGAUUGUUUACAUGGAGAGCUUUGUCACCCUGCUUUCUCUAUGAAAUUCUGGCGCGGCUCCUUAUUUCCUAACCAAGGCCCUAGGCCUCUCUUUUUAGCAUGCUGGCUGGGUGUGACACGUUCCCCUAGGGGUCAGCUUUUUAUUUUAUUGCCAUUUGAAGAGUAUCUGAGCAUGUGUUUAGAAUUUACAUCUCAGUAAUAGAUUUCUGGAUGGAAACAGCGUGGAUUAUUACUUACAUUUGGUAAAGUCCCCUUGGAUAAGAAGAACCUGCUGGCAUCAUAUUAAUGUUCCUUGCUGUCACUUGACAAUCUGAGUUGGUUUUGUAUACGAACCUGGGGCUCAUUGGAUUGAAUUUAGGAAACUGGUAAAACAAAUUUGUCUUCAGUGGGUUUGAAUAAUCAUUCAAAUUAAUAACACGCACACACAGGCACACAGGCUGAAAGGUUAAUUUAUCAUCGCUUUCAGUCCUGUUUAUUCAGAACUCCUUCAUCAUGGGCAUAAGCAGCCUUUAUUAAAGAUGAUGAAUCCAAUUUCCAAAUGAGCUGUAAAUGCCUUUCUAUUGAGACAUUCCUUGAUUUGUUGUUUUCUUGAAUAAAACAUGGUUUUGCCCUGUGGGUUAUGGAGCCCAUAUAUUAAUAUUGGGAAAUUACUCUGUUGUGCCUGGCAUCUGCGAUGCGCAAUGUUGAAUUUGUUCUCUGAUCUGUCUUCCCUCUCUUUAAUAAACACUGAGACAGAAAGCAUA